This 377-nucleotide unclassified non-coding RNA is filed under the name plant metagenome. Its description in RNAcentral is "partial contains 5.8S ribosomal RNA, internal transcribed spacer 2, and large subunit ribosomal RNA". The stretch from base 1 to 104 matches the Rfam family "5.8S ribosomal RNA", at positions 51 to 154 of the family's 154-position model. The record is from RNAcentral.
AAAUGCGAUAGGUAAUGUGCAUUGCAGAAUUCAGUGAAUCAUCGAAUCUUUGAACGCACCUUGCGCUCCUUGGUAUUCCUUGGAGCAUGCCUGUUUGAGUAUCAUGAAAUCUUCAAAGUAAAUCUUUUGUUAACUCAAUUGGUUUCUACUUUGGUAUUGGAGGUCUUUGCAGCUUCACACCUGCUCCUCUUUGUUCAUUAGCUGGAUCUCAGUGUUAUGCUUGGUUCCACUCGGCGUGAUAAGUUAUCUAUCGCUGAGGACACUGUAAAAGGUGGCCAAGGUAAAUGCAGAUGAACCGCUUCUAAUAGUCCAUUGACUUGGACAAUACUUUUAUGAUCUGAUCUCAAAUCAGGUAGGACUACCCGCUGAACUUAAGC